UCCACUUCACCCUCCUCUGCCUCUCUCAGGGCAGUGAGUAAGCCUGUGCCCCACGUCUCUCACCAGCCUUGGGAACUGGACUUUUAAUCCUGCCAGGAUUAUUGUGAGGUGCAAUGAGACCAUCACUGCCUGGGAAGAUGCUCAUUUUUUUAUAUGAUAAGAACGUGAGGCACUUACUGUUUCUGUAACCAAGGACCACAGUCCUGUACUUGGAGACAGCGUCACUUCCUGAGCACUGUAAUAAGGCAGCAUGAGGAUGGCAGACUCCGUUCAUUUUGAGAACCAAUGCAGAAGAGGAGAGAGGGAAAAGACACGGGGACAGGACAGGUCCCACACUGCUCUGUUCUGGCCACAAAUAGGACUGGUUCUGAGCCUGCGAGAAAAGGUGAAGCCACAGACUUCAUGAAAUCCUAGAUGGGACCAAGUCCAUGUGGUGCCGCCCUCUCCCUGGAGACACAGUUGACAAGAGCUGGAUAAGCCAGUCACCUCCCCUCACCUCCUAUCCAGAGGUGACUGUCACUCCGGGUUCAAGUGGCCCUGACAUGCAUGGAAAUGGCAUCUGCCUAGGACACCAGCUGCACGGUCAUGACAAGCACCAUGGGCCAAGAGGCUCCAGUGGAAAGAACACGAGCAAACUCGUUCCCAAGCCCUUGUGGGAUGUCACUGCUCUGAGGAUGCCCAGAAACAACUGCGGAAGAUUUCAAGCAGACGUAAACAGCUCGGUGGCUAAGGUCUUGUUGAACAAGCGCAAGUUUGGAGCCAUGGAGACAUGAGAACAAUAUUAACUGACCUUGUUUGUAUUCAUGAUGCCCUGAGACCUACGAGGUGUAGAAUAAUUAAUCCACUGGCUCGUCUUUGCAUCUUGGCUCUAUUUCUGGGGAACGGCUACUAGGUCACGGCUGUGUGCCUGACCUCACGCCUGCCCCUCACCAGAAAGAAGUGCUUAAGUGAAGAUGAAGUGAAAAAUGGACUGCUUGAUAUCUACUCCUUCAUACAUACCAAGCCCGGCAGUAAAACCACCCACAAAACUUUGACUUACUUGACUUUUUAAGUUUUUGUCAUACUCUUCGAUUCUUCCUUGAAGGCACCUGUCACCAACUGUAGCUGAAGUGCUUGUCCCGGUCUACUGGGGUGACCUCAGUGGGUCUCUUUUCAGACUUUCACCACAUCCCCAUGCUGUGCUCCAGGAAACAGCCACGACUGUGACACUGACAUCUACACCAUCUCCCAAAACAUUCGAACCAAGAAGCCCACGAGUCGCCGCUGUCAUCAUCACGCUGCCAUCUGCGGGUGCUGCUGUAAGUCCAGCAACUAGAACUCUUCUCAACUUGCAACCCUCCAGACUCAAAAACUGAGUUUACAGUCAGUUACAAUGAUCGAUCUUUGGUUUUCUUUGGAUUUCCUUAAAAAUUCACCCCUAUUAAAUGUCUGUCUUCUCAAACCAUCCAGCAAAAUCCUCUAGUAACAAAAGACAAGCCAAAGACAACAGAAUGGGAAGUGGACUUACCCUGUUCAGAGAAAAGAAGAAAGUCUCUUCCUUGAAUAAGGCAAGGGAACUGAACGAGACUCCCUCCUGAAACAGACUGGAGUCUUCUUGUGGGCACUGCCACCAGCAACGAUCCAUGCCAAACGUGUCACUUUCCCAGGCGCAUGGCAACUAGAGCCGCGGCUUCCUUGGGCUGUGCAGGGGCUUUGCCCAGUCUGGUCCAGAUCUGGAAUCCCUGUCCGUGCUGUCACGCACCACUGUCCCAGCAUCUUCCUGAUGGCAAAGGGCGGGGCUCGAGUCUCAAAGCAGCCCUCCCCAAGGAGAUCCUUUGCACUGCAGCUUUUGGCUUAACAUCUCAGAUGGUGCGUUCAGCAAUAUAUUUGCUUUUAUUUUCACAUACGUAACAUUUUAUAUGACUUACUGGGUAGAUAAUUUAACUUCUUCUCUCUCAAAUACGUGCAUAAAUCCAGUGCCUGGGAAGGUCUUGUGUGUUAAUGCUGUGAUUCUCUGCAACACACCUGUGAACUCAAGUACCGACUCCCCAGAAUGCGGGAAGCCCAGAACAGACCCUUUUCGGUCUUACAUAUAAUCUUUCUGAGGAACAAGGAGAUCGGGCAAUCAAGUGUUAUAUAUUUACAGCCUUAGUUAGAUGAGUUUUACAAGUCUUGAUGAGCGGGUUUAAAACAGAACUUUAAUUUGAAUGGUCUCACUGUCACACAUUUACUCUACAUAUUCAUAAAUGUUGCUAUAUCCACUUAAUACUGUUAGCGUCAAGUAAACUAGGAAUUUUAAAGUGUUUAAAGCCAAUAUAGUGCAAAUCUCUGCAAAAAAAAUAAAAGUUAAUUCAUACUUCUUUCUAAUUAUAAAUAGAAUGUAUCACCUAGGGAUUGCAAAGACAUCAUUUUCUGGUUUUAUAACAUCUGUUAGGUGCUUCAAGUCAAUUCUGAUUACUACAAUUUACAGAGUUAGCAUCUAUGAUUCUGUGUGAUUACUGCUCUCUCAAUUAAGUACAUAUGAAAUUACUUAUAACACAUUAGUCAACCAGUAAAUGUGAAAAAUCAUCUACUUCUAGAACUGGAGGAGGGAGUACUAGAGUGGAAGUAUUUUAGAAGUUUAAAAGCAUCCACAGAAAUACUGCAAGGUCAUAUCAGUCAGGGUAGAUAAAUAGACUUCUCUGAUACUUAAACAAUUUAGUAUUAGUAAUAGUAAUAAAAUUAAUCUCAAUUGACUUCUUACAGUAAUAGAAAAUACAAAAAAAAUUAUCUUUCAAUUUUUCAAUAAAAAUCACACCCAUAGAGUACUUUCAAUACACUUGUAUACCCACAUAUUUAAAAAUAGUCAUAAAAUUAAUUCUAGUAUGCUAGGAGGCAAGUUCUACUGCAAAAGUAGCAUAAAUUCCUCUGACCAAUGAGGAAAAAUAUCAAAAAUUAAGGAGAAAAACAGUUUUUCUUCAAAGUUAUAAGUUUGGAAAGGCAAAAUUAAAAGGUCUUUAUAUCUGUUGAUAUCAUUAGGUUACAAAGUGUGAGAUUUUUGCUGGGACUGUGGCACUAAAAGUUUCCUUUUUGGACAUAUUACUUGAAUAC
This is a long non-coding RNA of Chinchilla lanigera (long-tailed chinchilla), 3069 nucleotides long. RefSeq lists it as uncharacterized. The record is from RefSeq and is a predicted model, not a curated record. NCBI's taxonomy places the organism in Eukaryota, Metazoa, Chordata, Mammalia, Rodentia, Chinchillidae. The transcript is spliced from 4 exons.